GAUGAACGCUAGCGAUAGGCCUAACACAUGCAAGUCGAGGGGCAUCACAUGAAGUAGCAAUACGGAUGGUGGCGACCGGCGCACGGGUGAGUAACACGUAUGCAACCUGCCUUCAACAAGGGGAUAACCCGUUGAAAGACGGACUAAUACCCUAUAACACAGGGGUCCCGCAUGGGAAUAUUUGUUAAAGGACAACCGGUUGAAGAUGGGCAUGCGUUCCAUUAGCUAGUUGGCGGGUAACGGCCCACCAAGGCAACGAUGGAUAGGGGAACUGAGAGGUUUAUCCCCCACACUGGUACUGAGACACGGACCAGACUCCUACGGGAGGCAGCAGUGAGGAAUAUUGGUCAAUGGACGCAAGUCUGAACCAGCCACGUCGCGUGAAGGAAGACGGCCCUACGGGUUGUAAACUUCUUUUAUACGGGAAUAAAGUGCCCCACGCGUGGGGUUUUGCAUGUACCGUAUGAAUAAGGAUCGGCUAACUCCGUG
This 489-nucleotide ribosomal RNA is filed under the name uncultured bacterium. Its description in RNAcentral is "bacterial SSU rRNA". It matches the Rfam family "Bacterial small subunit ribosomal RNA", at positions 28 to 507 of the family's 1533-position model. The record is from RNAcentral.